CAAACUGCCUGCAUCCACUGUCCUUCCUUUACCCGAAAGCAAAUGCACUAUAAUGGUCAAGGUUUUCACAACAAGGUUUCUAUACAGACCUUCACGUCAAAAUAUAAAACAACUCUUUAACCCUUUAACCAAAAUAUAGGCAUACAACACCAAAGAAUAGCAACAAGAUAUCCCCUCUCCUGCAAUCUUUGUCAACUUUGAACAAUCCUCAAAGUUCCCAGAACGCAGUUGUUGACGGAUUGGCAAGCGUACCAAAUCGUUCAAGUAAUAUAAUUGGUAAAACCCAAUAUCGUUCUUCCCAAGAGACUCAAAAGGCUUUCUCGUUCACGUGAAUUAAAAUAAUAAGACUUGAAAAUAAAAAUAAUUAAUUUGAUUUGAGAACAAAAAUAUUAACAUGCGAAAGAGAUUGAUUCAAUUGACAAAAGAAAACAAUGGAUGAAUGAAGUUGUUGUGGGUUUACAAUUUCAUCUUUAUCCGCUCUCUCUUAUCUACUCCUCUUGAAUUAUUAGUUUGAUUAAUUAAUUGUCAUGCAACUUUCUUAGCCUACCCUUAACCCGAUCCCUCGGUGAAAAAAGCCUAAUAUUAAUUACUGGCUUGCUAUCCUUAGCCUCCCCUAGCAAUUAAUACCGCAUUAAAGAGCAGAAGUUAAACACAAUUGAUCGUCAUACCCCUAUCCCUAGGUGAUAUUGCAUAAUCAAGAAAUUACUCACCAGUUCAUGACAUUACUGUACGUCCCCGUAUCAAUAAAGACAAACAACAGUUAUCGAAUGAGUUAAACGAUAAAGGCAUUAAGCACAGAUGAGAACCCAACAAUUAACAAUCAAACAUAUGGAAACCAUAUAAAUAAUCAAGAGUUUCAAUAGAAGAGAGUAUCAAAAGAUUACAUUGUUUCCUCCAACAACAAUAGGGUUUAGUUCACCAUUUUCAUGGUGAAACUAGAUGAAAAAUGGAAGAAGAAUGGAAAAGCAAACCCUANNNNNNNNNNNNNNNNNNNNGAAGAAGAAUGGAAAAGCAAACCCUAGAAAAGAUGAAAAGGAGCCUAAGCAUCCAAGAGAUCCUCUCCAGAGAGCAAAAUUAGGUCUGGACGUCCUCCCCUGUCAAAAGAAUGACUCUGAACUCGCAAUAGGGGUAUUUAUAGGUGAGGAGCGCAGCAGAAAACAGGCCCAAGCCCAACGGACCACCGCCCGGCGGAACAAGUGUGCCGCCCGGCGGUUUCCCGUAAGCCUCAGAACCGCC
This 1236-nucleotide long non-coding RNA is filed under the name Vigna radiata. RNAcentral describes it as "long non-coding RNA (VRAD_LNC018142)". Lineage: Eukaryota; Viridiplantae; Streptophyta; Magnoliopsida; Fabales; Fabaceae. The record is from RNAcentral.